GACGAGCCUCACAAACGUUAUUCGGAAUUACUGGGCUUAAAGGGUGCGUAGGCGGCGUGGAAAGUUGGGUGUGAAAUCCCUCGGCUCAACCGAGGAAUUGCGCUCAAAACUACCAUGCUCGAGGGAGAUAGAGGAAUGCGGAACUUACGGUGGAGCGGUGAAAUGCGUUGAUAUCGUAGGGAACACCGGUGGCGAAAGCGGCAUUCUGGAUCUCUUCUGACGCUGAUGCACGAAAGCUAGGGUAGCAAACGGGAUUAGAAACCCCG
Molecule: ribosomal RNA, 266 nt
Filed under: uncultured bacterium
Lineage: Bacteria
Description: partial 16S ribosomal RNA
Rfam family: Bacterial small subunit ribosomal RNA
Source: RNAcentral